AGUGAACGCUGGCGGUAGGCCUAACACAUGCAAGUCGAACGGCAGCACAGUAAGAGCUUGCUCUUACGGGUGGCGAGUGGCGGACGGGAGAGGAAUACAUCGUAAUCUACUUUUUCGUGGGGGAUAACGUAGGGAAACUUAAGCUAAUACCGCAUACGACCUACGGGGGAAAGCAGGGGAACUUCGGACCUGGCGCGAAUGAAUGAGCCGAUGUCGGAUUGGCUAGUUGGCGGGGUAAAGGCCCACCAGGGCGACGAUCGGGAGCCGGUCUGGGAGGAUGAUCGGCCCCACUGGAGCUGGGACACCGUCCAGACUCCUGCGGGAGGCACCAGUGGGGAACAUUGGGCAAUGGGCGGAAACCUGGUCCAGCCGGACCGCGUGGGUUGAGGAGGCCUUCGGGUUGUAAAGCCCUUUUGUUGGGAGAGAAAAGCAGCAGGUUAAUACCAAGCUGUUCUGACGGUACCCAAAGAAUAAGCACCGGCUAACUUCGUG
This 492-nucleotide ribosomal RNA is filed under the name uncultured bacterium. RNAcentral describes it as "partial 16S ribosomal RNA". It matches the Rfam family "Bacterial small subunit ribosomal RNA", at positions 29 to 507 of the family's 1533-position model. The record is from RNAcentral.